Molecule: ribosomal RNA, 558 nt
Filed under: Salmonella enterica
Lineage: Bacteria; Pseudomonadati; Pseudomonadota; Gammaproteobacteria; Enterobacterales; Enterobacteriaceae
Description: partial 23S ribosomal RNA
Rfam family: Bacterial large subunit ribosomal RNA
Source: RNAcentral
CGAGUCUUAAUUGGGCGUUAAGUUGCAGGGUAUAGACCCGAAACCCGGUGAUCUAGCCAUGGGCAGGUUGAAGGUUGGGUAACACUAACUGGAGGACCGAACCGACUAAUGUUGAAAAAUUAGCGGAUGACCUGUGGCUGGGGGUGAAAGGCCAAUCAAACCGGGAGAUAGCUGGUUCUCCCCGAAAGCUAUUUAGGUAGCGCCUCGUGAAUUCAUCUCCGGGGGUAGAGCACUGUUUCGGCUAGGGGGCCAUCCCGGCUUACCAACCCGAUGCAAACUGCGAAUACCGGAGAAUGUUAUCACGGGAGACACACGGCGGGUGCUAACGUCCGUCGUGAAGAGGGAAACAACCCAGACCGCCAGCUAAGGUCCCAAAGUCAUGGUUAAGUGGGAAACGAUGUGGGAAGGCCCAGACAGCCAGGAUGUUGGCUUAGAAGCAGCCAUCAUUUAAAGAAAGCGUAAUAGCUCACUGGUCGAGUCGGCCUGCGCGGAAGAUGUAACGGGGCUAAACCAUGCACCGAAGCUGCGGCAGCGAACGUAUCACCCAAGACAACUUUA